GGAGCCCGGGCCCGGGAGCCUCCCCGCUUACCGCACUAGGAAGUGACGCUUUCCCUGAGUCCCGGAGAGAAAGAAACAAAGUUUUUUUGGUGGUUUUUUUUUCUUCUUUCCGUUUUUUCUCUCGCUCGGUGGUCUUUCCUUCUGCGUUUACUCUUUGCAAUCUGCAGCCCCGGAGGCUCCCGCCGUACCUCGCAGCGCAGUGUAAAAGCAAUGCAGAGUAUCAUAACACCUCAGUAUAUCUGGAGACAAGACACAUUAUCUUCUGGGAAUUAUGGUAUCAGAACUGGCAUUGUGCUUUGUUUGAAGGUCUCUGAGAUUUAAGGCCAUUUAGUUGAUACCUGCAAAUGGUGCUUUACUGAAGGUUUGCCCCAUAAUUCUUGAUGACCAGCUCAGCUCAGGUGGGAAAGUCCCAAAUGUUUUGCAAAAUCCUUGCUGAAGUACAGAGCUAUAAUUGUUGUUUAUGCCUGUGCCUCUGAGGCCUGAGAAUUAAGUCCAUUCAUCAAAGGAAACUAGAUUUUAU
Gallus gallus (chicken) is the source of this 520-nucleotide long non-coding RNA. The record is from Ensembl. Lineage: Eukaryota; Metazoa; Chordata; Aves; Galliformes; Phasianidae.